AAAGCAAGGAUAAAAAUAGCGACGGUGGUAAAAACAAUGAUGAUAACGAUGAUAACGAUGAUGAUGAUGAUGAUGAUGAUGAUGAUGAAGGAAAUCCUAUAACGAGAACGACAAGGGUGACAACAGUAGUAACUUUAAAAGAAAAAAAAAUGAGUGGUGGUGACAGUGAUAGAGGCACAAGGCCCGAAAUUUUGUGGGAGGGGACCAGUCGAUUAG
This 216-nucleotide long non-coding RNA is filed under the name Octopus sinensis (East Asian common octopus). RNAcentral's name for it is "uncharacterized LOC118764248, transcript variant X2". Lineage: Eukaryota; Metazoa; Mollusca; Cephalopoda; Octopoda; Octopodidae. The record is from RNAcentral.